CCCGACACAACACAGCCACCUCCUCCUCGUCCCACCACCAAGUUCCAAACUUCUCUCCCGUCGCCCCCACCACGAUCAGAGGCCAUGGCAGGAAGGGAAGGCGGCAUACAUCCGCGCGGGAGGCUAAACUCAGGCCGCGGAUGCACAUCGUCGACGUCGCCGUCAUCUUGGGCCAAUGCCAUUGCUCGCGGCCUCACGCCCGUUCAGGUGCCGGAGUCCCUGUUCAAGCGUUGCUCUACGUCGCGAGCCACCCCGCACCUCGACCUUCCGCCCGCCCAGUUCGCCGACGCCCACUGUCGCAUGCCACCAAAGCCGUCCGCCCACAGCGUCGUCAGGAGUUGCCGCCUUGGCUAAGCGGGCGCUGAAGCUGACACGAGGAGGUGCUCCAACACCCUAUCGCUCCGUCCUGAUCGGCUGCUCUGUGUCAAGGCAAUGGCGAGGUGGAGUGGCCACUGUGCACUGCCUGAAGGAGGCGCUGGCGUAGUGGCGACGUAGGACGGCAAGGACGAUAUGUGCAGGAUGGUGGAACCAAUCGAGGGUGACCAUGGCGGGAGGUUUGCAGGGCAGAUUUUGUCUGAAAUCUAUUUGGUACAAAGUAUGGGGAAAACAACUUCUGUCAAGCAUCUCCUGGAGAAUAAACUAUCCCCAGCUUCUGUACAUGCAACAUGUAUUUUCUUUCGUUUGCCAAUUUGUUUCAGUACCAUCAUCUGUGAGAAUUGAUCUUCUGCAAUUGCAGGUGUCGAUAUUGGACCAGAGCCAACGACCGUCAGAUUUGUGAUUAUCACGCUUACCUAGACAGAGGAAGAAAGAGCAUGGCGGCCAUCUUUGCGAGGCUCAUGAUGCAGAAGUUCUAGACGAAGCAAAUGAAGUACCAUGGAGACGAAGCAAAUGAAGUCCCAGUCGGGAGAGGAGACGGAUGAGCCACGCUGGGGCGGCGAGAGCAACAAAUGCGCUAGGGAGAUUGGGGAAUGGUGGAGGUGGGGAAUGAGCAGGGAGGUUCGAGGAAGCUAGAGAGAAAGAGAGUGGAUCUCAGACUUCUCAGUCCAGGGCACCGCUGUGGUCCCAAGUGCAGGUGCACACGCGUGAGCAGAGAUGGGUCUGUACACUUUAUUAUUGCAUUGUCCAGAUAUUCAAUGAUAAGUAAUAGAAGUUGCUGCAACAGUCCUGACUCAAAAUUGCUUCAUACAGCUCCUUCUGUUUUAUCUGAUUGUUAUCUAUAGGAUGAUGAUAAUUUACUUGUUA
Molecule: long non-coding RNA, 1242 nt
Organism: Aegilops tauschii subsp. strangulata
Lineage: Eukaryota; Viridiplantae; Streptophyta; Magnoliopsida; Poales; Poaceae
Source: RefSeq, a predicted model, not a curated record